CGACAUAAUGCAACUAGCACAAUCUAAUAAUCACCACCACCACCACCACUAAACCUGUGCCUUUAGUAGGUGAUCCAUUUACUUGGUGAGCCCAACAAGGCUGCAAAGAAUCGGUGGCUGCAACUGUUUAUUAAAAACACAGCACUCUGCAAAGACGAAAGUCGACGUAUAGGGUGUGACUCCUGCCCGGUGCUGGAAGAUUAAAUGAUGGGGUGCAAGCUCUUGAUUGAAGUCCCAGUAAACGGCGGCCGUAACAAUAACGGUCCUAAGGUAGCGAAAUUCCUUGUCGGGUAAGUUCCGACCUCACGAAUGGAGUAAUGAUGGCCACACUGUCUCCUCCAGAGACUCAGCGAAGUUGAAAUGUUUGUGAUGAUGCAAUCUCCCCGCGGAAAGACGGAAAGACCCCAUGAACCUUUACUGUAGCUUUACAUUGGACUUUGAACAGAUCUGUGUAGGAUAGGUGGGAGGCUUUGAAGCGGUGCCGCUAGGUAUCGUGGAGCCAACGUUGAAAUACCACCCUGGUGUGUUUGAGGUUCUAACCUUGGCCCGUUAUCCGGGUUGGGGACAGUGUAUGGUGGGCAGUUUGACUGGGGCGGUCUCCUCCCAAAGUGUAACGGAGGAGUUCGAAGGUACGCUAAAUACGGUCGGAAAUCGUGUUGAUAGUGCAUUGGCAUAAGCGUGCUUGACUGCGAGACUGACAAGUCGAGCAGGUACGAAAGUAGGACAAAGUGAUCCGGUGGUUCUGUAUGGAAGGGCCAUCGCUCAACGGAUAAAAGGUACUCUGGGGAUAACAGGCUGAUACCGCCCAAGAGUUCAUAUCGACGGCGGUGUUUGGCACCUCGAUGUCGGCUCAUCUCAUCCUGGGGCUGUAGCCGGUCCCAAGGGUAUGGCUGUUCGCCAUUUAAAGAGGUACGUGAGCUGGGUUUAAAACGUCGUGAGACAGUUUGGUCCCUAUCUUCCGUGGGCGCUGCAAGAUUGAGAGAGCCUGCUCCUAGUACGAGAGGACCGGAGUGGACGCACCUCUGGUGUAUCGGUUGUCACGCCAGUGGCAUUGCCGAGUAGCUAAGUGCGGAAGAGAUAACCGCUGAAAGCAUCUAAGCGGGAAACUCGUCUCAAGAUGAGUCUUGCCGGGGCCUUGAGCCCCCUGAAGAGUCGUUCGAGACCAGGACGUUGAUAGGCCGGGUGUGGAAGCGCAGUAAUGCGUUAAGCUAACCGGUACUAAUUGCUCGUGCGGCUUGACCCU
Molecule: ribosomal RNA, 1243 nt
Filed under: metagenome
Description: bacterial LSU rRNA
Rfam family: Bacterial large subunit ribosomal RNA
Source: RNAcentral